GAUGAACGCUGGCGGCGUGCCUAAUACAUGCAAGUCGAGCGAACAGACGAGGAGCUUGCUCCUCUGACGUUAGCGGCGGACGGGUGAGUAACACGUGGAUAACCUACCUAUAAGACUGGGAUAACUUCGGGAAACCGGAGCUAAUACCGGAUAAUAUAUUGAACCGCAUGGUUCAAUAGUGAAAGACGGUUUUGCUGUCACUUAUAGAUGGAUCCGCGCCGCAUUAGCUAGUUGGUAAGGUAACGGCUUACCAAGGCAACGAUCAGUAGCGGACCGGAGAGGAAGGUCAACAACAUUGGAACUGAGAAACGGGCCAAACUCGGAAGGGAGGCAGCAGUGAGGAAUAGGGGGAAAUGGGCGAGAGCCUGAACCAGCAAAGUAGAGUGCAGGAUGACGGCCCUAUGGGGUGUAAACUGCUUUUAUGCGGGGAUAAAGUGAGGGACGUGUCCUUCAUUGCAGGUACCGAAUGAAUAAGGAACGGCUAAUUCCGUG
Molecule: ribosomal RNA, 492 nt
Filed under: uncultured bacterium
Lineage: Bacteria
Description: partial 16S ribosomal RNA
Rfam family: Bacterial small subunit ribosomal RNA
Source: RNAcentral